UACGUAGGGGGCAAGCGUUAUCCGGAUUUACUGGGUGUAAAGGGAGCGUAGACGGAAUUGCAAGUCUGAUGUGAAAAUCCGGGGCCCAACCCCGGAAGUGCAUUGGAAACUGUAUUUCUAGAGUGUCGGAGAGGCAAGUGGAAUUCCUGGUGUAGCGGUGAAAUGCGUAGAUAUCAGGAGGAACACCAGUGGCGAAGGCGGCUGUCUGGUCUGCAACUGACGCUGAGGCUCGAAAGCAUGGGUAGCGAACAGG
RNAcentral lists this ribosomal RNA (253 nucleotides) under uncultured Eubacteriales bacterium. RNAcentral's name for it is "uncultured Clostridiales bacterium partial 16S ribosomal RNA". It matches the Rfam family "Bacterial small subunit ribosomal RNA", at positions 524 to 776 of the family's 1533-position model. Lineage: Bacteria; Bacillati; Bacillota; Clostridia; Eubacteriales. The record is from RNAcentral.